This 263-nucleotide ribosomal RNA is filed under the name Acartia erythraea. Its description in RNAcentral is "partial 16S ribosomal RNA". It matches the Rfam family "Bacterial large subunit ribosomal RNA", at positions 2343 to 2611 of the family's 2925-position model. The record is from RNAcentral. Lineage: Eukaryota; Metazoa; Arthropoda; Copepoda; Calanoida; Acartiidae.
GGGUUCUUGCACGGGGAUUAUGCAGUCUUAAAGGGCUUUGUACUGGGCCUAUUUGGGGAAAAUUUUAAUAUUUUUAUUAAAUUAAAUUUUGAUCUUAAUUUAACUAUAAGAAAAAGUUACCCCAGGGAUAACAGCGUUAUUAUUAUAAAAGACCUUAUUGGAAUAGUAGUUUGCGACCUCGAUGUUGAAUUAUAGUAACGAUUAGAGCACACCCUAAUUGGGUUUAGUCUGUUCGACUAAUAAUACUAUACAUGAUCUGAGUU